CAAAUUUUCAGCCUCCUAUUAGGGGAUCCGUUUGUUGCUCCACUGAGCAUAACAUACCUUAAUGCACCCGUGCAUCACUUUUGAUGAGUGAGAACGAAACCGAAAUUUGCAUCUUCCAAUACAGUCUUGCAAAGAUUUAUCCCGAGGUGAAACAUAAUAAGAAGAUGGAUAGCAAUAAGGUCUUUCGAGAAUUAUUUCAUGAAAUUCAGCAAGAACGAAAAUAAUUACUCCAAUCAACAAUAUUGCUGCUGCUCGUGCCAUGUACUCUUCAUAAACAUGCAUUUCUUCUUUUUCUUGCGAUCGCAUAU
RNAcentral lists this long non-coding RNA (308 nucleotides) under Arachis ipaensis. Its description in RNAcentral is "long non-coding RNA (AIPA_LNC000413)". Lineage: Eukaryota; Viridiplantae; Streptophyta; Magnoliopsida; Fabales; Fabaceae. The record is from RNAcentral.